GACGAACGCUGGCGGCGUGCUUAACACAUGCAAGUCGAACGGACAGGCCCUGCUUUUGUGGGGUGCUCGAGUGGCGAACGGGUGAGUAACACGUGAGUAACCUGCCCCUGACUUUGGGAUAACUUCAGGAAACUGGGGCUAAUACCGGAUAGGAGCUACUGCUGCAUGGUGGGGGUUGGAAAGAUUCGGGGGUUGGGGCUUGACUAGCGGGUUAUCAGCUUGUUGGGGGGGUUGUGGCUUACCAAGGCUUUGACGGGUAGCCGGCCUGAGAGGGUGAAAGGCGACAUAGGGACUGAGAUGCGGCCCAGACACCUACGGGAGGGAACAGUGGGGAAUCUUGCCCAAUGGGCGGAAGCCUGAUGAAGCAGCGCCGCGUGCGGGAUAACGGCCUUCUGGUUGUAAACCACUUUCGCAUGUAACGAAGCGUGUGUGACGGUAAUGGGUAAAGAAGCACCGGCUAACUACGUG
This 468-nucleotide ribosomal RNA is filed under the name uncultured bacterium. RNAcentral's name for it is "partial 16S ribosomal RNA". It matches the Rfam family "Bacterial small subunit ribosomal RNA", at positions 28 to 507 of the family's 1533-position model. The record is from RNAcentral.